AUAAAAUGUAGAAGAGAUGGCUUAAAAUUUUAAGAGAGGCUGAGGUUUAUCAGAUCAACCUCUUUUAUACAGCUGAGUGUAAAAGCUGACAUAACUGGAAAAAAAGUUUAAGAUAGAAGUCAAGAUAACUUUCAGUAAGAAGUCUUUGGGUACCUCAGGAAAUAAGUAUUAGGCAACAGCUGAUCAUUUUUUCAGAGCGAUCUGUGUGCUGUCAACAUAUGAUGUCAUCCUUCCGUAGCACUUCACUUUUCCACUACUUGUAGCUAUGGAGGUGGGUCAGUGUGCAUCCUGCAUGGCAUACAGCUCUCUCAAUUUCUUCAUUUUUUGCAGGGCUUGCUUAACUCAUCUCUUAGGCUGUGUAGUUAGUGAGGACACAGGUAUAUAUACCCUCAUUUGAAAUCUGUCCACACAAAGCUAACACUGGUGGUGGUAGCCUGUCUCGGUUUCCCGGCAACAGCUCUGCUUAUGAGGCUUAACAAUGCAGAAGAGAUAGAAAAUGAGAUUCUGGGAGACUGGGAGUGUGGAGCCUUGUGAGACAAGUCUGACACAGGAGUUUGUGGAAAAGAUUUGUGUUGUGCAUGAGAGCUGUGGAAGAAAGACAUCAUUAUGGAGGAAUCCUAAUUGUAAACUGAACCACCUCCACCCCCAAAUUAGCAGUAUAAGAUCUGCAUGUCUUUUUCAUGGAGAAGAUGGUGGAGAUCAUUUCAAUGACACACAUACAGAUUUGUUGGACACAACCUGGAGGAAAGGGAAAAACAUGGUUCAAACUAAGGGAGCAGCUCAGCUAACCAAUGCCACCAUGGGCACUUGGAUGUCCUUUCUUGAACCUUGCUCCUUUAGCAAAAACCAAACCUGAAAGAGCAAAUGAAACAAAACAAAAUAAAACAGAAAACCAAUGCA
RNAcentral lists this long non-coding RNA (900 nucleotides) under Phasianus colchicus (ring-necked pheasant). RNAcentral's name for it is "lncRNA (ENSPCLG00000015153.1)". The record is from RNAcentral. Lineage: Eukaryota; Metazoa; Chordata; Aves; Galliformes; Phasianidae.